This 1735-nucleotide long non-coding RNA is filed under the name Homo sapiens (human). Its description in RNAcentral is "HSALNT0116317". The record is from RNAcentral. Lineage: Eukaryota; Metazoa; Chordata; Mammalia; Primates; Hominidae.
UCAGUUUUGAGACUUUAUUGUUCUUCCCACAGAAACCACCCUCAGGGCCCCCUUGAAUCCGAGCGAACCUUGUGAAGAUAUGCUUCCACCAACAAGACGUGGAGAGAGUGAUAUUCCCUCGGCUUUCACAGGCCUGCAGCCUCUGUCUCACUCUCUUGGAAGGCUGCCCUGAGAGCGCCACGGAGAGCACUAGGCCCACCUGCGGGAGGGUGAGAGGCCGCAUGAAGGGAACCUGAGGCACCCAGCCAGGACCUAGCACCCACAGCCAGGCAUGCUGGUGAGGCCCACUCAGUCCUUCCCAGCCAAUAGUCCAGCUCGAUGCAGCUGCAGGAGCGAGCCCAGGUGAGAGCAGCUGAGGAACCACCCACCCGCCGACCCACAGAAGUGCAAACAGCCAUAAACUGUGUUUAAGUCACUGAGUUUUGGGGUCAUUUGUGGUGCAGCAAAUGCAACGGAACCAGGCUGCUUUACUAAAGUCGCGAGUUGAAAGAGAAAAACUGGAGCAAAUGAAGAGAACCAGGGAAAAUAACCUAUCAGCGCCCUGUACUCGGAAGUCAUGCUUCAAGCGACAGGAAGGGACUACCUGCCAUCGAGAGUGGUCACAGAGAACGUGUUCACCAGAUCCAUGCUCACCUUUCAUGCCAACCCGGCUUCAUGGGGAAAUUAGUUUGAUGUCUUGAGGCCUUCCAGACCUUGCUCCACCUCCACCACCAGGUCUCCAGUCCUGAGCCACAUGCUGCCAUUUUUGUCUCAGAAGCACCCCUCUUCCAGGUGGAAGAUUGAAGGUCUGAAGAGUGGGAAGUCCCAGGAACAGGCAAUUCCAGGAAGAUAUGAGGAAAAUCAAGAAAGAGAAGGAAACUGAAGCUAGUGGGAAGUGCUUCAAGUUGGAGAUGAUGCUGAGAUGGCCAAAAAGUGAGAGGUGGAAAACAUUUGGAGUGAGUUAAGGAGAGAACGCGAGGCAAGGAAGUGAAGCUGAUUUUCAAACCUGAGUGAAUGAAUGAAUAAACGGACCUGGGAAUUGAUCAACAAUGGCUGCUGCAUCGCGUAAAGAGAGACGACCAGGUGUCAGCUGGCUGUCAACUGAUCUAGGAUGGUCUUGGAGGGACAACGAGGGCAACCCCAUGUCUCUUCUUUAGCAGGCCAGCCCAGACAUGCUUUCAUGGCUGAAUAGGAGCCAGCCUGGUCAUGGGAGCAAUUUUCAAGCAAGUCUCUGCUUGAAUGUCACAUUUACUAACAUCCUGUUGGCCAAGGUGCAUCCCAUGGCUGAGCCCAGUGUCCAAGUGAAAGGGCACCAGGAAGUUCCCUGCAGCGCUGUGGGUACUGGAAGAAUGGGCGCCAUCUUCAUGACAGCAGCAUGCUAAGUUACAGAAAGUGAGCGGCGUUCUAGACAAAGCAAGCUCAUCUGUGAAUGGAUCAUGGCGGAAACCUGACCACAGUAUGUUGGGAUUUAUGUGUUUGACAUUUUCUAUAAUAGAAAGGCAGAUCAAAAAUAAGGCUCCAGUGCCUCCACUCAGGAAAGCUCAAGUAGGUUUUCUUGAGAAUUUUUAGUGGAUACCCUGUUUUGCAAUGUUCUUUUCUUUUUCUAAUGAGGCUGAACCAGAUUGUAAUGCCAUGAGGCUUCUACAUGGAGAGCUGGACGUUGGUGAGGAUUGGGUGGAGAAGGCCGGGUGGAGGCUGGGCCUGGGAGAAGAGCAGCAGAUUCCCAAACGUACUGGUAUUGGUGCAUACUCUGAGA